UCAUUCUCUAGAGCAGCCGGAAGAGGAACGCGGCUACCAGACCCUGGCCAGGGAGCGGGAAGCGCUGAUGCAGAAGUACCUGCACCUGCUGCAGAUCGUGGAGACGAGAAGACAGUGGCCAAGCAGCUACAGCAGCAGAUCGAGGAUGGGGAGAUCAAUAUCGAGCGGCUGAAGGCAGAGGAUAAUGCACAAUGAAGUAAACGAGACAGAGAGCAUCCAGGAAAACAGAGCCAUGGAGUGCA
Diceros bicornis minor is the source of this 242-nucleotide long non-coding RNA. RefSeq lists it as uncharacterized. The transcript is spliced from 3 exons. Lineage: Eukaryota; Metazoa; Chordata; Mammalia; Perissodactyla; Rhinocerotidae. The record is from RefSeq and is a predicted model, not a curated record.